CAGAAGGCUGUGAUGUUGAAACCUACCUAUUUCAUGAAGGGUUUUUAUAGCCAUCUCGUGAUUAUAAAGGCAUCAAUCGAUUCUUCUGAGCCUCCU
Molecule: small nucleolar RNA, 96 nt
Organism: Hibiscus syriacus
Lineage: Eukaryota; Viridiplantae; Streptophyta; Magnoliopsida; Malvales; Malvaceae
Source: RefSeq, a predicted model, not a curated record